RNAcentral lists this ribosomal RNA (80 nucleotides) under Cytobacillus firmus. RNAcentral's name for it is "partial 23S ribosomal RNA". Lineage: Bacteria; Bacillati; Bacillota; Bacilli; Caryophanales; Bacillaceae. The record is from RNAcentral.
UCAGGUUGAUAGGUCAGAGGUGGAAGCGUGGCGACAUGUGGAGCUGACUGAUACUAAUCGAUCGAGGACUUAACCAAGUU